Chrysoperla carnea is the source of this 2654-nucleotide RNA transcript. It is a transcript of the gene named beta-arrestin-1, with no coding region annotated. The transcript has 8 exons. Lineage: Eukaryota; Metazoa; Arthropoda; Insecta; Neuroptera; Chrysopidae. The record is from RefSeq and is a predicted model, not a curated record.
UUUCGGGUGCCGAAGAUUUUUUUAUUUUUUUCCAAUUAGUAAGAGAGUCCCCCGUAUUUCAUACUAAAAGGUAUUAAGGUAAGGUUUUUAUAUAUGAAUACAGGAAAUGGGACAUUUAAUUAUUUUGAUAUAAAAAUAUCGUGUUUUUCGUUUAAUUUUGAUUUGAAAUCAAAACGUAGAUUUUGAUUUAAGAGACGAACUUAAAAUAGUGUUUAUUUUGUGUGGGGUAAAGUGUGAUUUGUACGAGAUUGUGUGUUUUUGAUUUCGAGGCUGGAUUUUCGCCUCAUUUGAGUUUUGAUUUGUGGAUAUGGAUGAUUCAAAUAAUAGACGAGCUACCAGAGUAUUUAAGAAAAGUUCACCGAAUGGAAAGAUAACGGUGUAUUUAGGGAAACGAGAUUUUGUGGAUCAUAUUACACAUGUAGACCCUAUCGAUGGUGUCGUAUUAAUCGAUCCAGAAUAUGUAAAAGAACGUAAAGUAUUCGGUCAUGUAUUGGCCGCAUUUCGUUAUGGACGUGAAGAUUUAGAUGUAUUAGGUUUAACAUUUCGUAAAGAUUUAUAUUUAGCCGCUGAGCAAAUAUUCCCACAAGAGAAAACAGCUGCAAAACGACCGUUAACACGACUACAAGAACGUUUAAUUAAAAAACUCGGUCCAAAUGCAUAUCCAUUCUAUUUUGAAUUACCACCACAUUGUCCGGCAUCGGUAACAUUACAGCCCGCUCCAGGUGAUACUGGUAAACCAUGCGGAGUGGAUUACGAGUUAAAAGCAUUUGUCGGGGAAUCAUCUGAAGAUAAACCACAUAAAAGGAAUUCUGUACGCUUAGCAAUACGUAAAAUAAUGUAUGCACCCAGUAAAUUAGGUGAACAGCCAUCGGUGGAAGUUAGUAAAGAAUUUAUGAUGAGUCCAAAUAAAUUACAUUUGGAAGCAUCGUUGGACAAAGAAUUGUAUUAUCAUGGUGAAAAUAUUGCUGUAAAUGUACAUAUAGCAAAUAAUUCAAAUAGAACUGUUAAAAAAAUCAAAGUUACUGUACGACAAUUGGCUGACAUUUGUUUAUUCUCAACAGCACAAUAUAAAUGUAAUGUAGCCGAAGCUGAAAGCGAUGCUGGUUGUCCAAUUUCACCAGGUUUUACAAUGUCAAAAGUAUUUACAGUGAAACCGUUACUUGCAAAUAAUAAAGAUAAAAGAGGCUUAGCACUUGAUGGCCAAUUAAAACAUGAAGAUACCAAUUUAGCAUCAUCCACAAUAGUUACCGAUCCUUCACAACGGGAAAAUUUAGGUAUUAUUGUUCAGUAUAAAGUUAAAGUGAAAUUAUGUCUUGGAGCUCUUGGAGGGGACUUGACAGCAGAGUUACCAUUCAUUUUAAUGCAUCCAAAGCCUGAAGAAGAGUCAAUAAUGCCAAUACCACGAGCACUGCCUGCAGAUUCAAAUUCGCAAUCCGGUGAAAAUAAUGUUGUAAUUGAUAAUAACUUAAUACAAUUAGAUACGGACGUUGAUGGAGGCUACGACGAUGAUAUUAUAUUUGAAGAUUUUGCACGAUUACGACUAAAAGGUGGUGAAACAGAUGCUUAAGAAUAGGUUAGCAAAUGAGACCAAUUUAUCUUAUUAAAAAAAAUAAAUACAAAAAAAAAAACACAAGAAAAAAAAUUUGAAUAUGUAAAAAAAAAAUUGGGGCCUUUUUCGGAUCGUAUUUGUCGCGUGUCGCAUCUACUGGAAGAAAUAAUUAAAAGGCUCUAUCUAGCGAUAGAAAAAAAAACUAUAGGUGUAAGAUUCACAUUGAUAUAUAAUAUUUAACGGAAUUACAAUAUUAUAUAUUGCAUACCAUACAUGCAUAUACAGGGUGUCCCGUGACUCGAUGUUCAUAGCUUAAUUAAGAGUGUAUUCUCUGAACAAUUUUAAAUCGAAAGUGCCUUUUGGACUUUUGUCAAAAAGCCAAUAGUUAGGGAGUUUUGGGCCCACUUUUUACGAUAAGUAGUUUUUUAAUGUUAAUAUAGUAUUAUUGUAGAUAUUAGUACUUAUCGUAAAACGUGGCAAUCUCAGCUAAUUUUGAUGAUAGAAAGUUGAAUAAAAAACGAAAAUGGGCAGAAUUACAUCAGCUAUAGCUUUUGUAUGAAAUUAAUAAAACAUUCAACUACUUUACUCAACAAUGCAUUUACUCUAUUCGUUAAAUUUAGUAAUGCCCAUAACUCCCAAACUAUUGGGUUUUAGACAAAAGUCCAAAAGGCACUUUCGACUUAAAAUUGUUCAGAGAAUACACUCAAGCUAUGACUAUCGAGUUACGAGACACCAUGUAUAAGAUAAGUUGAUGUAACCAUUUUUGACAAGAAAAAUUUUAUUAAUGAAUUAUAUUAAACAUUAAAAUAAUUGUUUUUAUUUUAAUUUGGGUCACUAUGUCGUAGUGUGAUCGAAAAUAUACAAUUCUUCUAAAAAAGUUAAAUCGGGACUUAGGUACAUAAAAUUUUUACAAAAUUUAAAUAAGAACUGCAAAGUUUAUGUAAAAAAGUAGGAAAACUAUCGCAAUUAUAAAAGACUAAGGGGAAAAAUAUGGCAUUAAAUGUAAAAUGAAGUAGUAUCUUUUGUCUUUUCAUUCAAAAAUCAGCUGAGUCUAACAAGUGUGGUUUACAUUUUUUUAAUCAUGGCGCUGACAUCUUAGCGUUCA